RNA transcript from Rhopalosiphum padi (bird cherry-oat aphid), 3352 nucleotides. It is a transcript of the gene named interferon-inducible double-stranded RNA-dependent protein kinase activator A homolog, with no coding region annotated. NCBI's taxonomy places the organism in Eukaryota, Metazoa, Arthropoda, Insecta, Hemiptera, Aphididae. The transcript is spliced from 7 exons. The record is from RefSeq and is a predicted model, not a curated record.
AGAUGUGCUAUUUAUUUUUAUAAAUAUUACUUUUAUUUAUUUGAUCAACAUUAAGUUAAAUAAAUUGUGAUGCUUUAAAAGCUCUUAUAAUUAAAUAAAAAAUAAAAUAAAAUUCACUUGGGGCACCAUUUUAUAAACACUGUAAACCUAAGAUUUAUCUAAUACAUAAUUACAGCAAAAGUACUUAUAAAUAUAUUAGUAUUACUUAAAUGGACUGUUCUACAAAUAAUGUGAAGUUUGAUACUGAUAAAACAUCAGUUACUUUAUUACAAGACAUAUUAAAUAAACAAGGAGUACGCACCGUUCAGUAUGAAUUACUACAAAUUGAAGGAGCUGUUAGUGCACCAUCAUUUCAGUAUCGUGUUACUGAUGGACGAUUUGUGGCUUAUGGUCAAGGAAAAUCAAAAAAAGAAGCUAAACAACAUGCAGCUAAGGCUUUACUACGGAUUAUUCAUAAAGAAUUUCCUGAAUUGUGUUCUGAUCCUUUAUUUGAAUCACAAAUUGAUUUUACCUCAGACUUGAAUGAUACAUUUGAAACAAUGAAUUUUGGAGACAAUGAUGAACGUAAUCCAAUUGGUAUGCUUCAGGAACUUUGCACUUCUCUCCAUCUUCCUCCACCAGUUUACAUAACAGAAUGUGAAGAUGGUCUUCCUCAUCAGCGUUUAUUUACUGUUUCAUGUAAUGUCUCUGAGUACAAGGAGACUGGUAUAGGCAAAUCAAAAAAAAUUGCGAAACGACUUGCUGCCAAUAAUCUUUAUUUAAUGUUAAAAAGCAUUCAGGCAGAUCUCAGUGUAAACUCUAAAGCAGCUGAAAAUGUUGAUGACUUUGUUCGUCAACAGUCAAGCAAUCUAAGUGGUUUGAAAAAUUCAAAAUCUACUUCUCAAUUUUAUAGGUUACCUGAAAUUCAUAGACAUUUACCAUUAACUGAAGGUCCUUGCUAUAAUGAUCUAAAAAAAAUGGAUGAUGAACAAAUGUAUUCAUGUGACAGUAAACUGGUUUUAGACAAUUUUACUGCUGAACAAGGACUUAACGUAUCAUUUAUUGAUUUUGAAGAACUCUCGAGUACCGGCAAAUACCAAACUUCUCUUCAAGUAUCUACUCCCAUUACUGUGGCUUUUCACGGUGAAUCCACUAUCAGCUUUGAAGAAGCUCAACAGGAUGCUGCUUAUAGAUCAGUAACAAAGUUUAGGACUUGGUUACCUGGGAAAAAUUAUUUUUUGGUACUUGUCUCAUUUGCUAUCUAUUACACAUUCCUAUGUAUUAUGCUCUCUUGGUCAACUACAGUGGAAAGUACGACUAAUUCGACAGUUUGUGUUGUUAUAAACAGUAGUCAACAGUCAAACAAUUUAAUAAAUUUGGAUACACGUACAAUUUAAGUAAUAUAUGAAAUCACAUCAGAAAACAACAUAUUUGAAAAUUUUCUUCAAGAAAUUAAAAAAUCAUACAUAAUAUAGUAGAUUGUAUAACCAUUGAAAAUGUUAAAAAACAGAUCAGGUAAAAAGUAAUGAGAAUUUCGUAUUUAAUUAGCUUGGAGAAUAAUAAUUUUUGAAUCUUAUGCAUGUUUGUAUUUGUCUUGAAUAAGCAACAUAUUAACAAAAUGUCAAUAUAAUAUAAUUAUAAAUUAUAAUGUACUAUAUGCAAGCAAUAUAUUAUAUUAUAAAUUGAAUAUUGUUAAGUAUAGAUUAUUUCAAUUUCAUCAUAUAACAAAUAAAAAAAAUCAUCAGUGUCUGAAAAUAUACUAUUAUGACAUAAUUAAAUAAUACUAUAUGAAAUCGACAAGUAUUAUCUAAUCUAUGUAUUGCUAAUAGGAAAAAUAACUGAUUAAUAUAUUAAGUAAGUGUUUGUCUACUCGAGUAAAAUGGUUCAAAUAAAAAAAAUAUGUCCCAUUAUUUAUUGUUCACUUGACUAAAUUUUAUCGAAAUGUACUAUAUAAAAUUCAAUUGAAUAUCAGUCUGUUCUUAAAAUAUUUAACCACAUGCCUAUACAUCAUAGAAAUCUACUUUAUAUUUUGAAUGGAGGUAGUAAGCAAUUAAUAUUUUUACAAAUCCAGAAAUAUAUCAUUAAUGCUUUAUGUAAGUUAAUAGUUUCUCAUCUACAGAUAAUUAUUAAUAAAUAUUAACAACUGUUAUCAAUAAUGUUGGCAUUAUAGUUACAUAGCCUUGAACUUAAGAGAACGCCUGUAUGUUUUGUUUCUGUCUUAAAAACAUAUAACAGAAAAUUUGCGUUUAGCAGAAUUAGAUUUAUUUUAUUAGCUUUGAUAUUUGAGUUCAUUGAUUCAUAAUUAAUUUUAAAGGUAAGAAUAUUAUUAUCCUUUGCAUCUUAUAAGUUAUCAAAAAAAUGCACAUUUUAAAACUGUGCAUGUUGUAUAAUACUUAUUUAAAUAUUUAAAUAUCAAUAUAAACUUACCAAAUGCCAAGGAUAAUAUUCUUAAUUUUAAGAUUAAUAUUAAAAGUAACAAUACAAAAUGGUUUUGUCUUUUGUUGAAUGCAAAUUUUAUAUUUUGUAUAUUUCUAAGGAUUAAGGAAACAACACCUUUUAUGUAUGUAGUGUUCUUGUAUUAUAUUCUGAUAAUUAAAAGUGAGAUUGUUAAUCAUAAACCAACUAGAAUUUAUAUUAGAUUGUUAGAGUGGCUAUCAAACAUUUUAAUGUAGCAAUGUAAGAAUAAUUUAAUGAUUGUUAUCAUAAGUAGAUUAAAGUAUUAAUCAUAAAGAACACUAUUUAAUUGGUAUUAUUAUUUUAUUUAUACAAAUGUUACACAAAUUAUAUAUAUAAAAAAAAAAAAACAUAAAUUAAAAAUACAAAGUAAAUAUUUAUUUUUCAACUAAUUCAGACCAAUUUUUAUGAUGGUAUUUGCAUACAGGAUUCAACAUUGGCUUUAUUUCAAAAUCUUAACAAGCGAAUAAGGUCUUUAUUUUUUCUUAGGUCUUGGAUUCUUUCCAACUUCCCAACUUCUAACCUCCAAGUAUACAUAUUAGCUCAUAGAUUAGAAAUAAUAUAACAAUUUUUUUACAGAUCUAAAUUGAUUUUAUCCAUAAAUAUUUAAUUUAAAAAAUGUUUAUGAAUGGAAAAUUGAAUUUGAACAUGAUCAUAAAGCAAAAGAGCACUGACUUCUUUUCUGACUAGUAUGAGACCACUCCAUAAAACUACCCAAACAGAACCAGACGGACCACAAUCAAUGUAUCUAGAUUCACUGCCCUCUUUUGUCGGAACACAGAUCCACAAACAGCCUUCAGGCCAUGUUUUGUUUACAUUUUUACGGUAGAAAAUCUGUAAUUCAAGAUCUUUUAGAACAAAAAUUAUAUGUUGUUUUGUUAUUAUAAUUUGAGAAUCUAUUAAAAAUUAUAUAAAUGUC